GACGAACGCUGGCGGCGUGCUUAACACAUGCAAGUCGAACGGAAAUGCCCUGCUUUUGUGGGGUGCUCGAGUGGCGAACGGGUGAGUAACACGUGAGUAACCUGCCCUUUACUUUGGGAUAACUUCAUGAAACUGGGGCUAAUACCGGAUAGGAGCUCCUGCUGCAUGGUGGGGGUUGGAAAGUUUCGGCGGUUGGGGAUGGACUCGCGGCUUAUCAGCUUGUUGGUGGGGUAGUGGCUUACCAAGGCUUUGACGGGUAGCCGGCCUGAGAGGGUGACCGGCCAAAUUGGGAAUGAGAUACGGCCCAGACUCCUACGGGAGGCAGGAGGGGGGAAUAUUGCACAAUGGGCGGAAGCCUGAUGCAGCAAAGCCGCGUGCGGGAUGACGGCCUUCGGGUUGUAAACCGCUUUCGCCUGUGACGAAGAGUGAGUGACGGUAAUGGGUAAAGAAGCACCGGCUAACUACGUG
RNAcentral lists this ribosomal RNA (468 nucleotides) under uncultured bacterium. RNAcentral's name for it is "partial 16S ribosomal RNA". It matches the Rfam family "Bacterial small subunit ribosomal RNA", at positions 28 to 507 of the family's 1533-position model. The record is from RNAcentral.